Molecule: ribosomal RNA, 1346 nt
Filed under: uncultured bacterium
Lineage: Bacteria
Description: partial 16S ribosomal RNA
Rfam family: Bacterial small subunit ribosomal RNA
Source: RNAcentral
GACGAACGCUGGCGGCGUGCUUAACACAUGCAAGUCGAACGGAAAGGCCCUGCUUUUGUGGGGUGCUCGAGUGGCGAACGGGUGAGUAACACGUGAGUAACCUGCCCUUGACUUUGGGAUAACUUCAGGAAACUGGGGCUAAUACCGGAUAGGAGCUCCUGCUGCAUGGUGGGGGUUGGAAAGUUUCGGCGGUUGGGGAUGGACUCGCGGCUUAUCAGCUUGUUGGUGGGGUAGUGGCUUACCAAGGCUUUGACGGGUAGCCGGCCUGAGAGGGUGACCGGCCACAUUGGGACUGAGAUACGGCCCAGACUCCUACGGGAGGCAGCAGUGGGGAAUAUUGCACAAUGGGCGGAAGCCUGAUGCAGCAACGCCGCGUGCGGGAUGACGGCCUUCGGGUUGUAAACCGCUUCCGCCUGUGACGAAGCGUGAAUGACGGUAAUGGGUAAAGAAGCACCGGCUAACUACGUGCCAGCAGCCGCGGUGAUACGUAGGGUGCGAGCGUUGUCCGGAUUUAUUGGGCGUAAAGGGCUCGUAGGUGGUUGAUCGCGUCGGAAGUGUAAUCUUGGGGCUUAACCCUGAGCGUGCUUUCGAUACGGGUUGACUUGAGGAAGGUAGGGGAGAAUGGAAUUCCUGGUGGAGCGGUGGAAUGCGCAGAUAUCAGGAGGAACACCAGUGGCGAAGGCGGUUCUCUGGGCCUUUCCUGACGCUGAGGAGCGAAAGCGUGGGGAGCGAACAGGCUUAGAUACCCUGGUAGUCCACGCUGUAAACGGUGGGUACUAGGUGUGGGGUCCAUUCCACGGGUUCCGUGCCGUAGCUAACGCUUUAAGUACCCCGCCUGGGGAGUACGGCCGCAAGGCUAAAACUCAAAGGAAUUGACGGGGCCCCGCACAAGCGGCGGAGCAUGCGGAUUAAUUCGAUGCAACGCGUAGAACCUUACCUGGGUUUGACAUGGAUCGGGAGUGCUCAGAGAUGGGUGUGCCUCUUUUGGGGUCGGUUCACAGGUGGUGCAUGGCUGUCGUCAGCUCGUGUCGUGAGAUGUUGGGUUAAGUCCCGCAACGAGCGCAACCCUUGUUCACUGUUGCCAGCACGUUAUGGUGGGGACUCAGUGGAGACCGCCGGGGUCAACUCGGAGGAAGGUGGGGAUGACGUCAAGUCAUCAUGCCCCUUAUGUCCAGGGCUUCACGCAUGCUACAAUGGCUGGUACAGAGAGUGGCGAGCCUGUGAGGGUGAGCGAAUCUCGGAAAGCCGGUCUCAGUUCGGAUUGGGGUCUGCAACUCGACCUCAUGAAGUCGGAGUCGCUAGUAAUCGCAGAUCAGCAACGCUGCGGUGAAUACGUUCCCGGGGCU